Molecule: small RNA, 29 nt
Filed under: Bombyx mori (domestic silkworm)
Lineage: Eukaryota; Metazoa; Arthropoda; Insecta; Lepidoptera; Bombycidae
Description: ovarian small RNA-25912
Source: RNAcentral
UCAUACUUAAGCUGAUGGUCUAGAGAUAC